RNAcentral lists this ribosomal RNA (485 nucleotides) under uncultured bacterium. Its description in RNAcentral is "partial 16S ribosomal RNA". It matches the Rfam family "Bacterial small subunit ribosomal RNA", at positions 30 to 506 of the family's 1533-position model. The record is from RNAcentral.
AUUGAACGCUGGCGGCAUGCCUUACACAUGCAAGUCGAACGGCAGCACGGGUGCUUGCACCUGGUGGCGAGUGGCGAACGGGUGAGUAAUACAUCGGAACAUGUCCUGUAGUGGGGGAUAGCCCGGCGAAAGCCGGAUUAAUACCGCAUACGAUCUACGGCUGAAAGCGGGGGACCUUCGGGCCUCGCGCUAUAGGGUUGGCCGAUGGCUGAUUAGCUAGUUGGUGGGGUAAAGGCCUACCAAGGCGACGAUCAGUAGCUGGUCUGAGAGGACGACCAGCCACACUGGGACUGAGACACGGCCCAGACUCCUACGGGAGGCAGCAGUGGGGAAUUUUGGACAAUGGGCGAAAGCCUGAUCCAGCAAUGCCGCGUGUGUGAAGAAGGCCUUCGGGUUGUAAAGCACUUUUGUCCGGAAAGAAAUCCUUGGCCCUAAUACGGUCGGGGGAUGACGGUACCGGAAGAAUAAGCACCGGCUAACUACGU